CAGCAAUACAACUGGUAUAUGAGCUCUCUGACCAGUUCGGACAUGGGAAUUUGCUAAAUAUUGGGCAGGAAUGGGAAAUAGCAAGCAUCUGAGGUGACCUGGUUUCCUGGGCUCUGGAAAACGUGGCAGCUUCCAGAAGGUGAGAGGGGCUGAAUCUCUGAGGCAAAUUUCUGGUGAUUAAUUGUAAUCUAAGGGAUCUCCUUAAAGGAUUCCAAGAUGCCAGAUUUCCC
This is a long non-coding RNA of Carcharodon carcharias (great white shark), 230 nucleotides long. RefSeq lists it as uncharacterized. The transcript has 3 exons. NCBI's taxonomy places the organism in Eukaryota, Metazoa, Chordata, Chondrichthyes, Lamniformes, Lamnidae. The record is from RefSeq and is a predicted model, not a curated record.